RNAcentral lists this ribosomal RNA (255 nucleotides) under uncultured bacterium. RNAcentral describes it as "partial 16S ribosomal RNA". It matches the Rfam family "Bacterial small subunit ribosomal RNA", at positions 524 to 777 of the family's 1533-position model. The record is from RNAcentral.
UACGGAGGAGGCAAGCGUUAUCCGGAAUUACUGGGCGUAAAGAGUUGCGUAGGUGGCAUUGUGUGUCGGUAGUGAAAGCGUGUGGCUCAACCAUAUAUCCAUUAUCGAAACUGCAAAGCUAGAGGACGAGAGAGGUUAUUGGAAUUCCCAGUGUAGGAGUGAAAUCCGUAGAUAUUGGGAGGAACACCGAUGGCGUAGGCAGAUAACUGGCUCGUUUCUGACACUAAGGCACGAAAGCGUGGGUAGCAAACGGGG